GGCGGUUUGUCGCGUCUGCUGUGAAAGCCCGGGGCUUAACCCCGUGGUGUGCAGUGGGUACGGGCAGACUAGAGUGCAGUAGGGGAGACUGGAAUUCCUGGUGUAGCGGUGAAAUGCGCAGAUAUCAGGAGGAACACCGAUGGCGAAGGCAGGUCUCUGGGCUGUUACUGACGCUGAGGAGCGAAAGCAUGGGGAGCGAACAGGAUUAGAUACCCUGGUAGUCCAUGCCGUAAACGUUGGGCACUAGGUGUGGGGGACAUUCCACGUUUUCCGCGCCGUAGCUAACGCAUUAAGUGCCCCGCCUGGGGAGUACGGCCGCAAGGCUAAAACUCAAAGGAAUUGACGGGGGCCCGCACAAGCGGCGGAGCAUGCGGAUUAAUUCGAUGCAACGCGAAGAACCUUACCAAGGCUUGACAUACACCAGACCGGCCCAGAGAUGGGUUUUCCUCUUUGAGGUUGGUGUACAGGUGGUGCAUGGUUGUCGUCAGCUCGUAUCGUGAGAUGUUGGGUUAAGUCCCGCAACGAGCGCAACCCUCGUUCUAUGUUGCCAGCACGUGAUGGUGGGGACUCAUAGGAGACUGCCGGGGUCAACUCGGAGGAAGGUGGGGAUGACGUCAAAUCAUCAUGCCCCUUAUGUCUUGGGCUUCACGCAUGCUACAAUGGCCGGUACAAUGGGUUGCGAUACCGUGAGGUGGAGCUAAUCCCAAAAAGCUGGUCUCAGUUCGGAUCGUGGUCUGCAACUCGACCACGUGAAGUCGGAGUCGCUAGUAAUCGCAGAUCAGCAACGCUGCGGUGAAUACGU
Molecule: ribosomal RNA, 802 nt
Filed under: uncultured bacterium
Lineage: Bacteria
Description: bacterial SSU rRNA
Rfam family: Bacterial small subunit ribosomal RNA
Source: RNAcentral